Molecule: transfer RNA, 77 nt
Filed under: Castellaniella defragrans
Lineage: Bacteria; Pseudomonadati; Pseudomonadota; Betaproteobacteria; Burkholderiales; Alcaligenaceae
Also listed under: 5 other names
Description: tRNA-Pro(tgg)
Rfam family: tRNA
About the family: Transfer RNA (tRNA) molecules are approximately 80 nucleotides in length. Their secondary structure includes four short double-helical elements and three loops (D, anti-codon, and T loops).
Source: RNAcentral
CGGGGCGUAGCGCAGUCUGGUAGCGCAUCUGCUUUGGGAGCAGAGGGUCGCAUGUUCGAAUCAUGUCGCCCCGACCA